Molecule: long non-coding RNA, 518 nt
Filed under: Homo sapiens (human)
Lineage: Eukaryota; Metazoa; Chordata; Mammalia; Primates; Hominidae
Description: non-protein coding CCDC18-AS1:66
Source: RNAcentral
CUUUUCCUAAUAGAGUGAUUUAAGCCUUCAUUUUUAGACAUCUAAGCCCUUGGUGAUCAUCAGCAUAAAAUGUGACAAAUUAAACAAAAGCAAGACAGCACAUCAGAGAACAACUCUGAGGUGGAAUGAUUGGGAACCAAUGAAUAGUUGUUCAGUAAAUGGUUUAUAUUUUACAGAUGAUGAAACUGAAACACAAAAAAUUUAGAUUAACUCUUAGGUGACAAAGCCAGGAUUGAAGCUCAUGCGGUCUGGCUCCAGAACAACUCUUCUUCAUAGUUACGUUAUACUGCCCCUGCAUUGUUGGUAUUGAAAGAGGGCUCUGAGAGAUUUCAUUUCUGUCCUGCUGAUGAAGUCUACGUUCAUUCAGGGCCUGCUGUGGAAGACCAGCCCCAAAGUUGCUGAACAGAAGACUUUUGAGAGUCAGCAGAAAUCUUCCACUUUGCAUGGUUCUCUUGAUGUGAAAUCAUCUAUAUAGCCCCAGAAUUGGAAAAGAAAAAAAAUAAAAAAAUGGAAGGAAA